Molecule: unclassified non-coding RNA, 253 nt
Filed under: uncultured Parcubacteria group bacterium
Lineage: Bacteria
Description: contains 16S-23S intergenic spacer region
Rfam family: Bacterial small subunit ribosomal RNA
Source: RNAcentral
UACAGAGGCCCCGAGCGUUAUCCGGAAUUACUGGGCGUAAAGCGCAAGUAGUCGGUUUUUGUAGUCCGAUGUUAAAUCUCAUGGCUUAACCGUGAGGCCGCAUCGGAAACGCAAUGACUAGAGCAAGUCAGAGGCAAGCGGAACGUGUGGUGUAGCGGUGAAAUGCGUUGAUAUCACACGGAACACCGAAAGCGAAGGCAGCUUGCUGGGGCUUUGCUGACGAUCAGUUGCGAAAGCGUGGGGAUCAAAAAGG